RNAcentral lists this ribosomal RNA (598 nucleotides) under uncultured bacterium. Its description in RNAcentral is "bacterial SSU rRNA". It matches the Rfam family "Bacterial small subunit ribosomal RNA", at positions 879 to 1482 of the family's 1533-position model. The record is from RNAcentral.
AGUACGCCCGCAAGGUUGAAACUCAAAGGAAUUGACGGGACCCGCACAAGCGGUGGAUGAUGUGGUUUAAUUCGAUGCAACGCGAAAAACCUUACCUACCCUUGACAUGUCAGGAAGUUACCAGAGAUGGUUUCGUGCUCGAAAGAGAGCCUGAACACAGGUGCUGCAUGGCCGUCGUCAGCUCGUGUCGUGAGAUGUUGGGUUAAGUCCCGCAACGAGCGCAACCCUUGUCAUUAGUCGCUACGAAAGGGCACUCUAAUGAGACUGCCGGUGACAAACCGGAGGAAGGUGGGGAUGACGUCAGGUCAUCAUGGCCCUUAUGGGUAGGGCUACACACGUCAUACAAUGGCCGGUACAGAGGGCUGCCAACCCGCGAGGGGGAGCUAAUCCCAGAAAACCGGUCGUAGUCCGGAUCGCAGUCUGCAACUCGACUGCGUGAAGUCGGAAUCGCUAGUAAUCGCGGAUCAGCUUGCCGCGGUGAAUACGUUCCCGGGUCUUGUACACACCGCCCGUCACACCAUGGGAGCGGGUUCUGCCAGAAGUAGUUAGCCUAACCGCAAGGAGGGCGAUUACCACGGCAGGGUUCGUGACUGGGGUG